RNAcentral lists this long non-coding RNA (2240 nucleotides) under Homo sapiens (human). RNAcentral describes it as "HSALNT0187921". The record is from RNAcentral. Lineage: Eukaryota; Metazoa; Chordata; Mammalia; Primates; Hominidae.
CAAAGGGAAGGGAAACAUAAUGCCUUGCUGUGUGGCCUCAUUGAGUGGUUCCGAGGGCACCCAGCUAUUCUGUCCGUCCUGCACUGGAUCGACACUGCAUAAAAUGAAACAGAGAGUUGGAAAUUAGCUGGUGAAUAAGAUGAUGAAGAAACACAAACAAGGCUCUUCAGAGCUGGAAAGCUUCUGGGGCCAUUGCUACGGCUCAGAAGCUCUCUGAAAUACGUCAGGGACCCAGCUUUUUAAGGACACAGCAAGAAGGCAGCCGUCUGCAAGCCAGGGAGAUGGACCUCUCCAGAUCCAGAACAUGCCGGCAUCCUCAUCACAAACUUCUAACCUCCAGAACGAUCCUCUUCUUCCUAUAGAAUACUUCUGGUGACAAAAGAACCUAUCACUCUUCUCUGGGAUUGAGAUCUUGUGGAAAUCCUCUUCCUUAUGCUUUGAAGAAGCAAGCUGCCAGGUUAUGAGCUGCCUCAUGGAAAGGGCCACGUGGCAGGAGCUGAAAGUAGACAACAGUCAAAAAGAGACUGAGGCCCUCAGUCUGGCAGCCUGCAAGAAACUGAAUGCUGCCAACAGUCAUGUGCUUGGAAGCUGAUCCUUCCCCAGUUGUGCCUCAGAUGAGAGCCCGGUUCUGGCCCACACCUUGAUUAUAGCCUAGCAGAGGACCUAGCUCAGCCAUGGCUGGACUUCUGACCCAGAAAACCAUGAAAUAAUAAAGUAUGUUGUUUUAAGUUGCUAAAUUUGUGGUAAUAUUAUUAUGGAGCAAUAAAUAACUAAUAUAGAUACUAUCUACUGUAUAUGAUUGUUGUGAGAAUUAAAUGAAAUAAUGCAUGUAAAGGCUUAGUACUGUCUUUGGCACACAAUAGAUACUCAACAGUUAACAGGUUCAUGCCCUGACUUCCACCCUCUGCCUUCCAGUUUUCACUGAUCGAGCAAUAGUUGAAUCCCUGUAGCACUUACCAGUGUUGGAAGAGACAUUUAAGUAUAUUUAGUCUCAUCUUGCAGCUGGUAUUUACAUUCUUCUACUAAUUUACUUUCUGUCUAGUCUUUGCUAAAAUAGCUCCAGUGACAUGCAGCUCAUUCUUGAGGCUUCCCUUUUUACAAAAGUAAUGGCUCUGGCAUCCUUUGCUAAUCAGGACAUAGUCUCUCUGAGGCCCACAAGAUCAGCAGACUUGCAUCAUGAUCAUUUGAAACCGCAGCCCUUUUCAAACAUAUCUGCUGGAGCGUUAUUACAAAAGACUAUAUUUAAAUAGCCAAUGAGCAUAUAAAAAGGUGUUCAUAAGCAUUCCACCAGCUUCCACCCACACCCUGAAGGCCCAAUGCCAUAUUAACCACUUGCCCAAGGAAAGGGCUCUUUUCCUCAAGGAAGACUGCUCUCUUCUUCAGAAUCUAGUGUCAAUUUCCUCCCUGGUUUUCAGAGCAUGCUAGAUAGGGGAAAUUUCACUUCCCUGCCACCCACAUGGAAAUGAUAUUUCUCUUUGAUAGGGAUAAUUAAGAUUUUCUCAGUCUUGUAAAAAAUGUAAACAAAAGCAUCUUAAACAUUAAAAAAGAUGUUCAGUAUCACUAGUCAUUAGAAAAAUGCAAAUUAAAACCACAAUACUUCACCAGUAUAGCUACAUUAAAAGACUAACAAUACCAAAUUCUUGGCAAGUAUGUGGGGAAUGUGAAACUCCAUCUCUGGCAGGUGUGCAGUUUGGCACAACUACUUGGAAAACUUGGCAGUAUGUGCCAAAGCUAAACAUUUACCUAUUUAGCAGUUCCACUCCUGGGUGGAUGCCUAACAGAAAUGUGUGCUUAUGUCUGCCAAAAGAUAUAUACAAGAAUGUUUAUAGCAGCUUUAUUCAUAGUAGUUCAAAUGGGAAAAUAACCCCAAAUGUCCAUCAAAGGAGAAUGGGUAAAUAAACCAUUGUGGAUAUUUGCACAAUGGAAUACUACACUGCAAUAAAAAAUACUAAUUGCAACAUGGAUGAAUCUCUCAGACAUAAUGUUGAGUGAAAGAAGCUAGACAUUAAACAGUAAAAUACUCAGUGACCUUAUGUAUAUGAAGUUCAACAAUAGGCACAACUAAUCUGCUGUGGUAGAUGUUAAAAUGAUGGUUAUUUGGGGGGCAAUAUUGCUUGCAAGAACAUUCAAGAGUGCUGGGAAUUUCUAAGUCUUGAUCGAUGUAGUCGGUUACAUGGGUAUACACUAUGUAAGUGAAAAAAUGUAUUGAGAAAUACUGAUAAAAUGUGUGGACUUUACAG